CAAGCGUUAUCCGGAAUUAUUGGGCGUAAAGCGUUUGUAGGCGGGCGAGUGUGUUUAAUGUUAAAUCUUAAAGCUCAACUUUGAAAUUGCGUUAAAAACUGCUUGUCUUGAGUAUGGUAGGGGUAAAGGGAAUUCCCAGUGUAGCGGUGAGAUGCGUAGAUAUUGGGAAGAACACUAACCAGCGAAGGCACUUUACUAGGCUAAUACUGACGCUGAGAAACGAAAGGUAAGGUAGCGAAACGGAUUAGAUACCCGUGUAGUCUUACCCGUAAACUAUGGACACUAAACGGUAAAUUUUUAAUUUACUGUUAAAGCUAACGCGUUAAGUGUCCCGCCUGGGGAGUAUGCUUGCAAAAGUGAAACUCAAAGGAAUUGACGGGGGCCCGCACAAGCGGUGGAGCAUGUGGUUUAAUUCGACGGUACACGAAGAACCUUACCAGGAUUUGACAUGCUAGAUAGUUGCUUGAAAGAGUAACGUGCCGUAAGGAAUCUAGACACAGGUGGUGCAUGGCUGUCGUCAGUUCGUGUUGUGAAAUGUUGGGUUAAGUCCCGCAACGAACGCAACCCUUGUCUUUAGUUAUUUUCUAAAGAGACUGCCUGUAAUAAACAGGAGGAAGGUAAGGAUGAGGUCAAGUCAUCAUGCCCCUUAUGUCCUGGGCUACACACGUGCUACAAUGGGAAAGACAAUGAGCUGCAAAUCUGUAAAUUUAAGCAAAUCUCUUAAACUUUCUCGUGGUUCGGAUUGUGGGCUGCAACUCGCCCACAUGAAGUUGGAAUCGCUAGUAAUCGCCAGUCAGCUAUACAGCGGUGAAUUCGUUCCCGGGCCU
RNAcentral lists this ribosomal RNA (827 nucleotides) under uncultured bacterium. Its description in RNAcentral is "bacterial SSU rRNA". It matches the Rfam family "Bacterial small subunit ribosomal RNA", at positions 535 to 1381 of the family's 1533-position model. The record is from RNAcentral.